Molecule: ribosomal RNA, 208 nt
Filed under: uncultured delta proteobacterium
Lineage: Bacteria; Deltaproteobacteria
Description: partial 16S ribosomal RNA
Rfam family: Bacterial small subunit ribosomal RNA
Source: RNAcentral
CGUGUAGGCGGUUUGGUAAGUCUGAUGUGAAAGCCCUGGGCUCAACCCAGGAAGUGCAUUGGAUACUGUCAGACUUGAGUACGGGAGAGGGUAGUGGAAUUCCCAGUGUAGGAGUGAAAUCCGUAGAUAUUGGGAGGAACACCGGUGGCGAAGGCGGCUACCUGGACCGAUACUGACGCUGAGACGCGAAAGCGUGGGGAGCAAACAG